CCUACGGGAGGCAGCAGUGGGGAAUCUUAGACACUGGGGGAAACCCUGAUCUAGCCAUGCCGCGUGAGUGACGAAGGCCCUAGGGUCGUAAAGCUCUUUCACCAGGGAAGAUAAUGACGGUACCUGGAGAAGAAACCCCGGCUAACUCCGUGCCAGCAGCCGCGGUAAU
RNAcentral lists this ribosomal RNA (169 nucleotides) under uncultured bacterium. Its description in RNAcentral is "partial 16S ribosomal RNA". It matches the Rfam family "Bacterial small subunit ribosomal RNA", at positions 338 to 524 of the family's 1533-position model. The record is from RNAcentral.